RNAcentral lists this unclassified non-coding RNA (257 nucleotides) under Hevea brasiliensis (rubber tree). The record is from RNAcentral. Lineage: Eukaryota; Viridiplantae; Streptophyta; Magnoliopsida; Malpighiales; Euphorbiaceae.
CUCUCAAAUCCUUCCUCAACAUCCCUCCGGACUCCCACUUCCCCCUCGAGAACCUCCCCUUCGGCGUCUUCCGCCCCAAAUCCCUCGCCGCCGCUCCGCCACGCCCCGCCGUCGCCAUCGGCGACUCCGUCCUCGACCUUUCCGCCGUCGCUACCGCCGGCCUCUUCGAUGGGCCCAUUCUCAAGGGAAAUUCAGAUUGCUUCCUUCAGCCGAACCUUAACAUGUUCGUGGGACUGGGGCGACCUGCGUGGACGGAG